CCUUUUAAUUUAAUUGCAAAUUGCACACGGUGAAAGUUCCGAUCACUUUUAAGUUUGACCGGCGAUGACGUGGACAAUAUUUAACAUACAUGGCAUUACACGUGGAUUUUUUUACACGUGUAGCUCCACAAUACACACUUUUUUUUUGACAUGGCAUUACUCUUAAUAUUAAAAAAAAACAAAAAAAAAACACAAAAUUGAAAAAAACAAAAUUAAAGACCAUUUCGAUCCGGCGCCGCCUCUGACCUUCGAUAAUCGAUCCAUUUCUCUGCCGCCCUAACCUCCGGCGCCGCCUCUGACCUUCGAUCCAUUUCUUCUCUCCCUCAAACUCAGGUGGAAAUCUUCUCCUAAACCGAGCCCUAGCUCUCUCUCAUUCUCCGUCUGUAAGAGAACCGUCGUCGCUGCCGAGGGGCCGACGAGGACCGGCGAUUGGCCAUCGUUCCACGCCCUCUUCCUCCGCCCCUCUGUUCCUCUUCAAAUUCUUCUUCUCCUCUCUGAAAUUCUUCUUCUCUUAUGUUCCUCUUCAAACC
RNAcentral lists this long non-coding RNA (530 nucleotides) under Salvia miltiorrhiza (redroot sage). RNAcentral describes it as "long non-coding RNA (SMIL_LNC011226)". The record is from RNAcentral. Lineage: Eukaryota; Viridiplantae; Streptophyta; Magnoliopsida; Lamiales; Lamiaceae.